Long non-coding RNA from Leptinotarsa decemlineata (Colorado potato beetle), 148 nucleotides. The record is from RefSeq and is a predicted model, not a curated record. NCBI's taxonomy places the organism in Eukaryota, Metazoa, Arthropoda, Insecta, Coleoptera, Chrysomelidae.
AUUUUUUCAGGUGCAGUCCAUGGAGUCGGGCAUAUUGUUUCAGCUCCCUUCAGAAAAGUUAGAGAGGGUGUCCAGGACGUUGGUCACCAUGCUAAAGCAUCCGGAGAUAAGACUAAGGAGGGUAUCCAAGACGAUGGUCAUCAUGCUA